Molecule: non-coding RNA, 31 nt
Filed under: Mus musculus (house mouse)
Lineage: Eukaryota; Metazoa; Chordata; Mammalia; Rodentia; Muridae
Source: RNAcentral
UCAAAAGACCUAAUUAUUGAAGUUGUCGAUA